Molecule: long non-coding RNA, 1640 nt
Filed under: Piliocolobus tephrosceles (Ugandan red Colobus)
Lineage: Eukaryota; Metazoa; Chordata; Mammalia; Primates; Cercopithecidae
Description: lncRNA (ENSPTEG00000009773.1)
Source: RNAcentral
UUUUUUUUUUAUUUUUUUUUUUUUUUAUGCUCCUAAAAUAUAUGUAACAUUUAAAAUAUUCAUUUACAAUGCAUUUUAUAAAAAUAAGUACUAAGAAAAAAUGUGUUACUAAUAUUAUCAUAUUAUAUUUAUUAGUAAAAAUAAUAGCUAUAGUUUUAUGCAAAAAUAACAUUAUCAACAAUAAUAACAAUAGCAUAUUUAAAAAUACAAAUGUUUUAUGUUCUAACUUGUCUAAAUAUUUUAAAAUAGAACAGAAUAAGACAAAAAGAAAAUAUGCUAAUUUCAUUUAUAAUAAUAAUAAUAAUGUUAAUAAUAAAGUAAUUAUUAAUGAAAAAUGUUAUAAAUUGAAUGAUGAUUUGAAAAAUAUAAUAUUACUGUUUGGUAGAAUAGCAGAAUAUUAUUAUCCUAAUACAGUCGAACAAUUUAAUCUUUUUAAAGAACCAUAUAGUAAAUAUAUUCAUACUAAUUAUAAAAACAAUUCAACUAAAUGGAAACAAGUUUUUAACAAUAAUGUAAAAAUUAAUAAAAAUAUUUUUUAUAAAAAAAUAUGUCAGCUCAAAUUUAAGUGGCCAAUUGAUGAAGAUGAAAAUAUUACAGAACAUCACUUUUAUAACCUAAUUAUUGAAAGAUGUUCAAACAAUAUUAAUGUACUCCGGAAUCACAUUUAUAAUAUGAAAAUACUGUUGGACAAAAUUUUAAAACAUAAAAAAAAAAAAUAUAUAAUUACUAAUACUAAUGAUUAUCAAAAUGAUGAAAACUUUAAGUUAACUAAACAAAAUGAAAUAGAUGAAAAAAAUGCAGUUGUGCAAAAACUAUAUAAACAGCUAGAAAAAGAAUUAUUUUUAAGUCAUAAUCAUGAAGAAAAAAAUGAAAAAAAUUCAUCUGAUAAUGUGAAAUUAUUAAUGGACUUAAAAAUAAAUUUUUUGGAAAAAUCGAAGCAUUCUUCUUUUAAUAAUAUUUUUAAACAAUACAAUAGAUCAUAUAAUAGAUUUCUUGUUAAUGAAAUUUUUAAUAAAGAGUAUCCAUCUAGAAAAACAACUGAUACCUUUUUAAAUCUGAUUUUUGAAAAAAAUGUUAAUGAUUUUUCAUAUGUUUCCUUUUUAAAACAUUUACACAAAUUAGGGAAAAAAAUCGAACUCUUUAAUUGUAACAAUAAUUCAAAUAUUUAUUUUGAUCAUUUUUAUUUUCUUAUGAAAAAUGAAAUUAAAAAAAAUACUAUCCUUUUUCGAAAAAAAAAAAUGCAGCAACCUUCUUCUGAAAUUAGUAAAACAAAAAAAGAAAAUGAUACCUAUGUAGUCUUAACACAAAACGAGCACACUGUAUUAACGGAAAACGACCAUACUAUAUUAGAAGAAAAUGAACGUACUACAUCAGCAGAAGACAACAAGAAAAAAAAAAGACAAUUUUAUUUUAUUACAGAACAAGAUAUUAUUAAUAAUAACUUUACUAAAACAAAAGAUAAUCUAAAAAGCCCCAAAAAAAGUAAUCAAAUAGAAAGCGUAAAAAACAAUUCAGACACUUCGAUAGAAACGAAUUUAAACAGUAAAAAAAACUGUAAUAAAAAUGAAAAAUUAAAUGCAGGCAUUAUUGCAAAUGCAAAAAACUAUAGAACAAUUUUAAAAAACAAACUUAUUUCGAUA